RNAcentral lists this ribosomal RNA (253 nucleotides) under uncultured bacterium. Its description in RNAcentral is "partial 16S ribosomal RNA". It matches the Rfam family "Bacterial small subunit ribosomal RNA", at positions 524 to 776 of the family's 1533-position model. The record is from RNAcentral.
UACGUAGGGUGCAAGCGUUAAUCGGAAUUACUGGGCGUAAAGGGUGGGUAGGUGGUUUGUCAAGCCAGAUGUGAAAUCCCCGGGCUUAACCUGGGAAUGGCAUUUGGGACUGAUAGACUAGAGUACGGCAGAGGGGGGUAGAAUUCCACGUGUAGCAGUGAAAUGCGUAGAGAUGUGGAGGAAUACCGAUGGCGAAGGCAGCCCCCUGGGUUGAUACUGACACUCAGACACGAAAGCGUGGGUAGCAAACAGG